Molecule: non-coding RNA, 984 nt
Organism: Leptonychotes weddellii (Weddell seal)
Lineage: Eukaryota; Metazoa; Chordata; Mammalia; Carnivora; Phocidae
Source: RefSeq, a predicted model, not a curated record
ACUUCCCACAAGCACGUCCCUGUUCUCACUGCUGUCCUUGCCUUGGUUUCAUUUAAGAGAUGCCUGGACUGAGCGACUGAGGACAGCCUUGGGGGGUGGGGGGCAGUGGUGGGCAGGCCACGGAACAGCCAGCAUUUAUGGGGCUUGUACUCUCCGUCAGACCUGGGGCGGGCUGUAUACAUGUAGUCGUUCAUCAUCAUGCCUGGAUUAUCUCCAUUUUACAGAUGAGGAAACUGAGGCUCCGACAUGAUCAGUGAGACAGAGGAAGGUCACACUGCUCGUGGAUUGCUAGCCCGCGGUGGAGGGAUUCACCCAGAGAAAUCUGUGAAUUUCUUGAGCCAGGAAGUGAGACAAGCAAUCACCAGCAUAGCAAGCAUGAAGUUACAAAGGUUCUAGAACCGAACGAACUGAGCUCAUACCACCGUCCCUGGUGGGUGGUCCCGGACUCACUCUGAGAAGAUGAACCAGCUCAUGCAUGAAAGCCAAGGCUUGGAGGAAAACACAGUGAAAGGAAUUUGGGGAAAUGGAGCUGAGCUACUGGACCCAGCUGAUCCUGAAGCCUUCCUACAUCUGGAUGAGCAGAUCUGUGGAACGAUGGAGUUCUCCAUUGUUGAAGUGAGUUUGGGGUUUCUUAUGGCCAUAAGCCACCUAACUGAUGCAGCUCCCAAGACAUUGUCUGGUUUCACAACUGCAGAAAAAAAAUGAAAACGAGUAAAACCGCAGAAAAGUGGGAAAUAUUUUGCUGACAUGAAUGCUGGGAAAAAAUUUUAAAGCACAUUUUGAAGAAGAUUUUGUAACUGUAUCUAUGCUCGCACUCCUCUCCUGGUGAGUGUGAGUCACCAGUGCUAUGAGUGAUGGAAAAAUUCAAUCAAGGCAAAUUCAAUUAGGUUAGGAUGGUGGUUACAGCUAGUGUAUGUCACAAAUCCCUUCUUUUGACAUUUAAAGAAAGACUUUUGUUGAAAAGAAGAACGAGGCUUUCUUAAA